ACAAUGGAGAGUUUGAUCCUGGCUCAGGAUGAACGCUAGCUACAGGCUUAACACAUGCAAGUCGAGGGGAAACGAUGAGAGAGCUUGCUCUCUUAGGCGUCGACCGGCGCACGGGUGAGUAACGCGUAUCCAACCUGCCCAUUACAGGGGAAUAACCUUGCGAAAGUAAGACUAAUGCCCCAUGGUAUUCUCAGCAGACAUCUAAUGAGGAUUAAAGAUUUAUCGGUAAUGGAUGGGGAUGCGUCUGAUUAGCUUGUUGGCGGGGUAACGGCCCACCAAGGCGACGAUCAGUAGGGGUUCUGAGAGGAAGGUCCCCCACAUUGGAACUGAGACACGGUCCAAACUCCUACGGGAGGCAGCAGUGAGGAAUAUU
This 373-nucleotide non-coding RNA is filed under the name Segatella oulorum F0390. RNAcentral describes it as "Prevotella oulorum F0390 Bacterial small subunit ribosomal RNA". It matches the Rfam family "Bacterial small subunit ribosomal RNA", at positions 1 to 365 of the family's 1533-position model. The record is from Rfam by way of RNAcentral. Lineage: Bacteria; Pseudomonadati; Bacteroidota; Bacteroidia; Bacteroidales; Prevotellaceae.